Molecule: ribosomal RNA, 465 nt
Filed under: Vreelandella stevensii
Lineage: Bacteria; Pseudomonadati; Pseudomonadota; Gammaproteobacteria; Oceanospirillales; Halomonadaceae
Description: partial 16S ribosomal RNA
Rfam family: Bacterial small subunit ribosomal RNA
Source: RNAcentral
CCUACGGGGGGCUGCAGUGGGGAAUAUUGGACAAUGGGGGCAACCCUGAUCCAGCCAUGCCGCGUGUGUGAAGAAGGCCCUCGGGUUGUAAAGCACUUUCAGUGAGGAAGAACGCCUGGUGGUUAAUACCCAUCAGGAAAGACAUCACUCACAGAAGAAGCACCGGCUAACUCCGUGCCAGCAGCCGCGGUAAUACGGAGGGUGCGAGCGUUAAUCGGAAUUACUGGGCGUAAAGCGCGCGUAGGUGGCUUGAUAAGCCGGUUGUGAAAGCCCCGGACUCAACCUGGGAACGGCAUCCGGAACUGUCAAGCUAGAGUGCAGGAGAGGAAGGUAGAAUUCCCGGUGUAGCGGUGAAAUGCGUAGAGAUCGGGAGGAAUACCAGUGGCGAAGGCGGCCUUCUGGACUGACACUGACACUGAGGUGCGAAAGCGUGGGUAGCAAACAGGAUUAGAUACCCGUGUAGUC